RNAcentral lists this ribosomal RNA (484 nucleotides) under uncultured bacterium. Its description in RNAcentral is "partial 16S ribosomal RNA". It matches the Rfam family "Bacterial small subunit ribosomal RNA", at positions 30 to 507 of the family's 1533-position model. The record is from RNAcentral.
AUUGAACGCUGGCGGCAGGCCUAACACAUGCAAGUCGAGCGGAUGAAGGGAGCUUGCUCCUGGAUUCAGCGGCGGACGGGUGAGUAAUGCCUAGGAAUCUGCCUGGUAGUGGGGGAUAACGUCCGGAAACGGGCGCUAAUACCGCAUACGUCCUGAGGGAGAAAGUGGGGGAUCUUCGGACCUCACGCUACUAGAUGAGCCUAGGUCGGAUUAGCUAGUUGGUGGGGUAAAGGCCUACCAAGGCGACGAUCCGUAACUGGUCUGAGAGGAUGAUCAGUCACACUGGAACUGAGACACGGUCCAGACUCCUACGGGAGGCAGCAGUGGGGAAUAUUGGACAAUGGGCGAAAGCCUGAUCCAGCCAUGCCGCGUGUGUGAAGAAGGUCUUCGGAUUGUAAAGCACUUUAAGUUGGGAGGAAGGGCAGUAAGUUAAUACCUUGCUGUUUUGACGUUACCAACAGAAUAAGCACCGGCUAACUUCGUG